RNAcentral lists this ribosomal RNA (256 nucleotides) under uncultured bacterium. RNAcentral's name for it is "partial 16S ribosomal RNA". It matches the Rfam family "Bacterial small subunit ribosomal RNA", at positions 29 to 271 of the family's 1533-position model. The record is from RNAcentral.
AACGAACGUUAGCGGCGCGCUUAACACAUGCAAGUCGAGCGAGAAAGGGGCAACCCCGGUAAAGCGGCGCACGGGUGAGUAACACGUAGGUAAUCUACCUCCAAGUGGUGGAUAACCUUCCGAAAGGAGGGCUAAUACAGCAUGAGACCACGAACUCGAAAGGGUUUGAGGUCAAAGUCGGCCUCUUCAUGAAAGCUGACGCUAGGAGAUGAGCCUGCGGCCCAUCACGGUAGUUGGUAGGGUAANGGCCUACCAA